Molecule: ribosomal RNA, 480 nt
Filed under: uncultured bacterium
Lineage: Bacteria
Description: bacterial SSU rRNA
Rfam family: Bacterial small subunit ribosomal RNA
Source: RNAcentral
CGGAUGAACGCUAGCGGGAGGCCUAAUACAUGCAAGUCGAGCGGUAGAGUGACUUCGGUUGCUUGAGAGCGGCGCACGGGUGAGUAACGCGUACAUGACCUACCUUUAAGACUGGGAUAGCCCUGGGAAACUGGGAUUAAUACCGGAUGUGAUAAUACGUAUAGAGAUGUAUUAUUAAAGUUGAGGCGCUUAGAGAUGGAUGUGCGUCUGAUUAGCUAGUUGGUAGGGUAACGGCCUACCAAGGCGACGAUCAGUAGGGGGCGUGAGAGCGUGGCCCCCCACACGGGUACUGAGACACGGACCCGACUCCUACGGGAGGCAGCAGUAAGGAAUAUUGGUCAAUGGACGGAAGUCUGAACCAGCCAUCCCGCGUGCAGGAAGACUGCCCUAUGGGUUGUAAACUGCUUUUAUAGUAGAAGAAACACAUCUACGUGUAGAUGUCUGCCAGUAUACUAUGAAUAAGCAUCGGCUAACUCCGUG